AUUGAACGCUGGCGGCAGGCCUAACACAUGCAAGUCGAACGGUAACAGGAAACUGCUUGCUGUUUCGCUGACGAGUGGCGGGCGGGUGAGUAAUGUCUGGGCAACUGCCUGAUGGAGGGGGAUAACUACUGGAAACGGUAGCUACUACCGCAUAACGUCGCAAGACCAGAGAGGGGGACCUUCGAGCCUCUUGCCAUCGGAUGUGCCCAGGUGGGAUUAGCUUGUUGGGGGGGUAACGGCCUACCUCGGCGACGGACCGUAACUGGUCUUUGAGGAUGAACAGGCACACGGGAACUGGAACACGGUCCAGACUCCUACGGGAAGCAGCAGGGGGGAAUAUUGGACAAUGGGCGAAAGCCUGAUGCAGCCAUGCCGCGUGUAUGAAGAAGGCCUUCGGGUUGUAAAGUACUUUAAGCGGGGAGGAAGGGAGUAAAGUUAAUACCUUUACUCAUUGACGUUACCAGCAGAAGAAGCACCGGCUAACUCCGUG
This 490-nucleotide ribosomal RNA is filed under the name uncultured bacterium. Its description in RNAcentral is "partial 16S ribosomal RNA". It matches the Rfam family "Bacterial small subunit ribosomal RNA", at positions 30 to 507 of the family's 1533-position model. The record is from RNAcentral.